Molecule: ribosomal RNA, 255 nt
Filed under: uncultured bacterium
Lineage: Bacteria
Description: partial 16S ribosomal RNA
Rfam family: Bacterial small subunit ribosomal RNA
Source: RNAcentral
CGGACGGGUGAGUAACGCGUGAACAAUCUGCCUAUGUCAGGGGAAUAACGCUGAGAAAUCGGCGCUAAUACCGCAUAAGACCACGGAAGGGCAUCCUUCAGAGGUAAAAGAUUUAUCGGACAUAGAUGAGUUCGCGUCCCAUUAGGUAGUUGGUGAGGUAACGGCCCACCAAGCCGACGAUGGGUAGCCGACCUGAGAGGGUGAUCGGCCACAUUGGAACUGAGAGACGGUCCAGACUCCUACGGAAGGCAGCAG